CCUACGGGAGGCAGCAGUAGGGAAUCUUCCACAAUGGACGAAAGUCUGAUGGAGCAACGCCGCGUGAGUGAAGAAGGGUUUCGGCUCGUAAAGCUCCGUUGGUAGUGAAGAAAGAUAGAGGUAGUAACUGGCCUUUAUUUGACGGUAAUUACUUAGAAAGUCACGGCUAACUACGUGCCAGCAGCCGCGGUAAUACGGAGGUGGCAAGCGUUUUCCGGAUUUAUUGGGCGUAAAGCGAGUGCAGGCGGUUUCAUAAGGC
This 259-nucleotide ribosomal RNA is filed under the name uncultured bacterium. RNAcentral describes it as "partial 16S ribosomal RNA". It matches the Rfam family "Bacterial small subunit ribosomal RNA", at positions 338 to 589 of the family's 1533-position model. The record is from RNAcentral.